AAAUGAAUUGACGGGGGCCCGCACAAGCGGCGGAGCAUGCGGAUUAAUUCGAUGCAACGCGAAGAACCUUACCUGGGUUUGACAUACACCGGAAACAUCUAGAGAUAGGUGCCCUUUUGUCGGUGUACAGGUGGUGCAUGGCUGUCGUCAGCUCGUGUCGUGAGAUGUUGGGUUAAGUCCCGCAACGAGCGCAACCCUCGUCCUAUGUUGCCAGCGGGUUAUGCCGGGGACUCAUAGGAGACUGCCGGGGUCAACUCGGAGGAAGGUGGGGAUGACGUCAAGUCAUCAUGCCCCUUAUGUCCAGGGCUUCACGCAUGCUACAAUGGCCGGUACAAAGGGCUGCGAUCCCGUGAGGGGGAGCGAAUCCCAAAAAGCCGGUCUCAGUUCGGAUUGGGGUCUGCAACUCGACCCCAUGAAGUCGGAGUCGCUAGUAAUCGCAGAUCAGCAACGCUGCGGUGAAUACGUUCCCGGGCCUUGUACACACCGCCCGU
Molecule: ribosomal RNA, 491 nt
Filed under: uncultured bacterium
Lineage: Bacteria
Description: bacterial SSU rRNA
Rfam family: Bacterial small subunit ribosomal RNA
Source: RNAcentral